GACGGGAACCCGCACAAGCGGUGGAGUAUGUUGUUUAAUUCGAAGAUACACGAAGAACCUUACCAGGUCUUGACAUACCAUUGACAGGUCUAGAGAUAGACUCUCCUUCGGGCAAUGGAUACAGGUGGUGCAUGGUUGUCGUCAGCUCGUGCCGUGAGGUGUUGGGUUAAGUCCCGCAACGAGCGCAACCCUCAUUGUUAGUUACUACCAUUCAGUUGAGGACUCUAAUGAGACUGCCAACGACAAGUUGGAGGAAGGUGGGGAUGACGUCAAAUCAUCAUGCCCUUUAUGACCUGGGCUACAAACGUACUACAAUGGCCAAUACAAAGAGAUGCGAAGCGGUGACGUGGAGCGAACCUCAGAAAGUUGGUCUCAGUUCAGAUUGAAGUCUGCAACUCGACUUCAUGAAGGCGGAAUCGCUAGUAAUCGCGGGUCAGCAGACCGCGGUGAAUACGUUCCCGGGUUUU
This 467-nucleotide ribosomal RNA is filed under the name uncultured Mollicutes bacterium. RNAcentral describes it as "bacterial SSU rRNA". It matches the Rfam family "Bacterial small subunit ribosomal RNA", at positions 912 to 1382 of the family's 1533-position model. Lineage: Bacteria; Bacillati; Mycoplasmatota; Mollicutes. The record is from RNAcentral.